This 253-nucleotide ribosomal RNA is filed under the name uncultured bacterium. RNAcentral's name for it is "partial 16S ribosomal RNA". It matches the Rfam family "Bacterial small subunit ribosomal RNA", at positions 524 to 776 of the family's 1533-position model. The record is from RNAcentral.
UACGAAGGGAGCUAGCGUUGUUCGGAAUUACUGGGCGUAAAGGGCGCGUAGGCGGCUUGACAAGUUGGAUGUGAAAGCCCUGGGCUCAACCCGGGAAUUGCAUUCAAGACUGUCUUGCUUGAAUUCGGUAGAGGUUGGUGGAAUUCCCAGUGUAGAGGUGAAAUUCGUAGAGAUUGGGAGGAACACCCGUGGCGAAGGCGGCCAACUGGACCGACAUUGACGCUGAGGCGCGAAAGCGUGGGGAUCAAACAGG